Small nuclear RNA from Cucurbita moschata (crookneck pumpkin), 122 nucleotides. RefSeq annotates it as U5 spliceosomal RNA. Lineage: Eukaryota; Viridiplantae; Streptophyta; Magnoliopsida; Cucurbitales; Cucurbitaceae. The record is from RefSeq and is a predicted model, not a curated record. The transcript has a single exon.
GAGCCGUGCGGUGAGCACAGAGCGAACUAUUCUUUCGCCUUUUACUAAAGAAUACCGUGUUUUUGGAGGGCUUUCCUUUGGAGGUGAGUCCUACAUAUCUCUAGUUUUAAAAAAAUUUAAUU